Molecule: ribosomal RNA, 409 nt
Filed under: bacterium
Lineage: Bacteria
Description: partial 16S ribosomal RNA
Rfam family: Bacterial small subunit ribosomal RNA
Source: RNAcentral
UGGGGAAUAUUGCACAAUGGGCGAAAGCCUGAUGCAGCGACGCCGCGUGAGGGAUGGCGGCCUUCGGGUUGUAAACCUCUUUCAGUAGGGACGAAGCGCAAGUGACGGUACCUGCAGAAGAAGCACCGGCUAACUACGUGCCAGCAGCCGCGGUAAUACGUAGGGUGCGAGCGUUGUCCGGAAUUACUGGGCGUAAAGAGCUCGUAGGCGGUUUGUCACGUCGUCUGUGAAAUCCUAGGGCUUAACCCUGGACGUGCAGGCGAUACGGGCUGACUUGAGUACUACAGGGGAGACUGGAAUUUCUGGUGUAGCGGUGGAAUGCACAGAUAUCAGGAAGAACACCGAUGGCGAAGGCAGGUCUCUGGGUAGUAACUGACGCUGAGGAGCGAAAGCAUGGGUAGCGAACAGG